Molecule: long non-coding RNA, 243 nt
Filed under: Elaeis guineensis (African oil palm)
Lineage: Eukaryota; Viridiplantae; Streptophyta; Magnoliopsida; Arecales; Arecaceae
Description: long non-coding RNA (EGUI_LNC013821)
Source: RNAcentral
ACCGGUACUUAAGCCGGAUUAAUUCAGCCCAACCCAUUUUCGGAUCUUGGUUGGCCCACGCAAUCCAAACUCAAUAAAAUCGAUAAAAAUCAAAGCGGGUCGAUCGGGUUUAGGUGGUGUUUCUUUCUUUCUUUUUUUUGUUUUUCGUUCCAUUGAUAGAAGGAAUCGGGCGGAUGAAGCUGGAUUUGGUUGGUUCCCACGUUGAUGAAUAAUAAAUAAUGGAUGACGCUUUUUUUGGUGGGU